Non-coding RNA from Parasteatoda tepidariorum (common house spider), 645 nucleotides. The record is from RefSeq and is a predicted model, not a curated record. NCBI's taxonomy places the organism in Eukaryota, Metazoa, Arthropoda, Arachnida, Araneae, Theridiidae.
CUGACUUUUUACUGCAUUUAUUCGCUAGGUAUCUAGCCUCAAUCAUAAACUUCAUUAAUGGAAACACAGAGCUAUAAGCUGAAGCAGAGAGCUCCUCGCAUUUUUUAACAGUCUGCAAUCCUCCCUUUCUAAAUUCUGUUUAUUUUUAAACACAAUACCUGAAAGUUAAGCUGUGAUUAACAAUAGUUUUUCACUUUAUGGUUCGACGUUAUCGAAUUAAUUCGAAAUAAUAUAGUUCCUAGGGAACCAAUGGCUGAUGAAAAGAUUAUAGAGUGGGAAGAAGAAGCAAAGUAUGUGAUUCAAGAUGUUGGCUUUGCACUUAAUAGCAUAGCCAUCUCUUCAAGUUUACCUCAGACAAAGUCUCGAAUCUUCCUCAACAUUGAAACACGAGAAAAGCAGAAGUUGUGCGUUGAAUUAUCCGCUAGUGGUUUCCGAGUUGUGUCCGAUACUUUCGAUGAAGCAGGUGAUGAUUAUCCGGACAAAACGUAUUACGAAACUCCUUAUGCGCUCUUUGAUAAAUACAGUAGUGAAUUCCGUAAUUGUUUCAGCGCGGAACUGAUAAAAAGACUAAAUAAUAUGCCUCAGUUGUCAUAAUUUUAUUCACGACAAGCAUUUUAUAUAAAUUCAAAUGUUUUUGUUAGUUUA